This 164-nucleotide ribosomal RNA is filed under the name uncultured bacterium. Its description in RNAcentral is "partial 16S ribosomal RNA". It matches the Rfam family "Bacterial small subunit ribosomal RNA", at positions 371 to 527 of the family's 1533-position model. The record is from RNAcentral.
AUGGGCGCAAGCCUGAUGCAGCAACGCCGCGUGAGGGACGAAGGCCUUCGGGUUGUAAACCUCUUUUAGUAGGGAAGAAGCGGACUGGGUUUUCCUGGGAGCCAUGACGGUACCGCUAGAAAAAGCACCGGCCUAACUACGCUGCCAGCAGCCGCGGUAAUACG